This is a long non-coding RNA of Fukomys damarensis (Damara mole-rat), 646 nucleotides long. Lineage: Eukaryota; Metazoa; Chordata; Mammalia; Rodentia; Bathyergidae. The record is from Ensembl.
GCACCAGCAAGAGAUCUGCAACUUCAAGAAGCUGUACACAAAGGCUCUCUUCUCCAGGUGUUUUAAUGCCUCUGAAGAGAUGUCCUUGACUCUGAAUGAGUUCUGGAAAAAACAUUUCAAUGCUGUCCACUGCAUCAACCUCAUUGACAAAGCCUAGAUGGUUAUGUAAUGCAGGAGAAAACAAGUGACAUUAGAUUUUUUCAUCAUACUCCGUGACCAUAUCAUCCACCAAGGCUGGAGGGUGUGCCAGGGCAUUGUCCAUCAGAAGAAGGCACCUUUCAGGCAGUUGAGACAAAGAGGAGAGGAAACCACUGACAAUCUCUUGGAUGUCCUUAUGGAGGAGGACUCACCUUCCAAACAAUGACCUCCUGCUCACCCACCUUCCUGUCCUCCAAGCCAGAAGUCGCCUCAAGCAGGGAGAAGGACGGACAUUGGGGACAUUGAGCUGAACAUGACACAUUAAGAGAAAGCACAAGGCUGAAUUUUGCAGCAUCCUUAACAUGUCUUAAUGGUUUUGAGAAGAAGAAAAUUUCAGAGGCAAACUACUGCUCUCCAACUAUUCACCUUCUGUCCUGCGACUGGUGACUCUGGACUACACAAGCAGUACCUUAUCACUAUAUUAAAAUAAUAAAUCAAGGCUCUGGGA